UAAAGCCCCGACGGGAGGGGAUGGCUCCGCGGCCCAUCAGGUAGACGGCGGGGUGACGGCCCACCGUGCCGACAACGGGUAGCCGGGUUGAGAGACCGACCGGCCAGAUUGGGACUGAGACACGGCCCAGACUCCUACGGGAGGCAGCAGUGGGGAAUCUUGCGCAAUGGGGGGAACCCUGACGCAGCGACGCCGCGUGCGGGACGGAGGCCUUCGGGUCGUAAACCGCUUUCAGCAGGGAAGAGUCAAGACUGUACCUGCAGAAGAAGCCCCGGCUAACUACGUGCCAGCAGCCGCGGUAAUACGUAGGGGGCGAGCGUUAUCCGGAUUCAUUGGGCGUAAAGCGCGCGUAGGCGGCCCGGCAGGCCGGGGGUCGAAGCGGGGGGCUCAACCCCCCGAAGCCCCCGGAACCUCCGCGGCUUGGGUCCGGUAGGGGAGGGUGGAACACCCGGUGUAGCGGUGGAAUGCGCAGAUAUCGGGUGGAACACCGGUGGCGAAGGCGGCCCUCUGGGCCGAGACCGACGCUGAGGCGCGAAAGCUGGGGGAGCGAACAGGAUUAGAUACCCUGGUAGUCCCAGCCGUAAACGAUGGAAGGUAGGUGUGGGGGGACGAUCUCCCCGUGCCGCAG
This 628-nucleotide ribosomal RNA is filed under the name uncultured bacterium. RNAcentral's name for it is "bacterial SSU rRNA". It matches the Rfam family "Bacterial small subunit ribosomal RNA", at positions 202 to 851 of the family's 1533-position model. The record is from RNAcentral.